CAGAGAGCCGUCAUGCAUCGAUCCAAAAUGGUGAAGGUUCAGAACCAUCAGCUUCUUCACCUUCCUUCGCAGUUCAAGAUGAAGAUGGUGGUGAUAGUAGAGAGUCUCACAAAGGCCUCAAAUUAUCGAAUCAAUGAUUUACCAAAGACCGGCAUCCAAUGGUCAUUAUUCUGACAAGUCGAAAGAGAUGAUGCUGGCAAGUGGAUUGGCAUGGGAAAGAUCGAUCGAUCUGCUACUUCAGCUCUUUUCCUGCUCGGAAGGUCGACGCUCAUAUGACCCCCUGGACACCAUGGGACGAGUCUUUUGACUUUGGGAGUUUGGGGGCUACAGCAUCAGUGCUUGAACAUAUUGAACAAACAAGACUCAUGAUAUUGAAUAAUAAAGUUUGUGCAACUGCAGGUACAUAUAUUUAGAUCAGCAGAACUGUUUCCCAAAGUUCAAGCGGAGAGCCUAAGCAGUCAUGAGAAGAAGAAGCAGGAGCAGAAGAGUUGAAAGGUAGAGGCAAAUCUAAGCAGAAGAGCAGAAGAUCUAACCUUAAAUAAUUCUAGAGCAUUUCUGUUGUGAAACUAUUCAGCUUUUAAAGAAAGAGGCAAAUCUAUGCCAAAGAGUUGAAGUCCAAUUGGAAGAGUUGGAAGGACAAUAGAAGCACUGGACGGGUGCUGCCAUCCAUGUGACGGAUCAACGAUUUACCAGAAGCGAACAUCUUACCGGAGGAAAAUGAAAUUAAUUUAGAUUUAGUUAUAGUUGAGUGCUGGGUUAGUUAAUGACUUAGUGCUGACCGCUGAGGUAUAGACCUGUUGUUUUUGACGGCUCAUUUGGUUGUAUGUAAGUUUAUGAUUGUAAUCUGAA
Long non-coding RNA from Rosa chinensis, 849 nucleotides. RefSeq lists it as uncharacterized. The transcript is spliced from 3 exons. The record is from RefSeq and is a predicted model, not a curated record. Lineage: Eukaryota; Viridiplantae; Streptophyta; Magnoliopsida; Rosales; Rosaceae.